RNAcentral lists this ribosomal RNA (468 nucleotides) under uncultured bacterium. RNAcentral describes it as "partial 16S ribosomal RNA". It matches the Rfam family "Bacterial small subunit ribosomal RNA", at positions 28 to 507 of the family's 1533-position model. The record is from RNAcentral.
GACGAACGCUGGCGGCGUGCUUAACACAUGCAAGUCGAACGGAAAGGCCCUGCUUUUGUGGGGUGCUCGAGUGGCGAACGGGUGAGUAACACGUGAGUAACCUGCCCUUGACUUUGGGAUAACUUCAGGAAACUGGGGCUAAUACCGGAUAGGAGCUCCUGCUGCAUGGUGGGGGUUGGAAAGUUUCGGCGGUUGGGGAUGGACUCGCGGCUUAUCAGCUUGUUGGUGGGGUAGUGGCUUACCAAGGCUUUGACGGGUAGCCGGCCUGAGAGGGUGACAGGCCACAUUGGGACUGAGAUACGGCCCAGACUACUACGGGAGGCAGCAGUGGGGAAUAUUGCACAAUGGGAGGAAGCCUGAUGCAGCAACGCCGCGUGCGGGAUAACGGCCUUCGGGUUGUAAACCGCUUUCGCCUGUGACGAAGCGUGAGUGACGGUAAUGGGUAAAGAAGCACCGGCUAACUACGUG